AACGACCUUCCUACUUUUGUUGUUUAUGUGUUUUGUUUUGGCACUCAACUUACCUCAGGCUCAGCUACUACUUCCACUCUCUUCCUAACGGUAACACCAUCCAUCCCCUACCUCCUACCAUAACACCAUAAGGUUUCUUUUUCUUUUUCCUAUGUUUCAGGUUUCAUUUCUAUUAUAAGUUUGAUUUCUCUUCAGUUAUAUUUUCAUUUUUUAGUCGUGUUUGUAAGCAUGAUUCAUCUUCCUUUUAGUUUUCAAGCAUCUAUUUGAAUAUUCCCCAUAUGGAUAGCGUGAAUCCAUAUGAUGAUCUUAUUACAUGGAAGACUUUUAUAUAUAUUUAUUUAUGUGUUAAACCAAUUACUUAAUAAUAACUACUUUUAGAAGAGACCAUAUCCUAACUCAGUAGAUUAGACAAGUUUUGAAUCCAGGUUUGGUGUGACCAGUUAGUCUCAUAUAAGAUAUAGUUGAGCUAAAUUAAAGAUGUUUUAAGUCAUCUAUAUACUAAAUGUUUUCAGUGAAGAUGUGGUGUCCCGGUCUCUUGGUGGUCAUAUGGUCAUUAGUCAAUAUACGAUGUUGAUGAAUUGAUGUUAGAUUACUCUAAUCAAGCAACAAUACACCCAACUUGAUAUUAAUUAGCAAAAUUGCAACAUGGUUCUUUAACUUAAUUUUUUGUUCAAUAUAAUCUUUUAUAUUUUAUCCGUUUUAAGUUAGUCUUUUUUAGUAUCAAGUUAGUCUUUUAUGUUUAAAAGCUUCAACGAAGUUGGACAAAACCUCAUUGCUACUUUUUAUGUAAAUUUGGGAGUUUGGAACUAUAUUUGCCUCUACUUACGUUCUUCUUACCCUGCCUGGCAGAUUUUCCCUAUGGCGAACAAGUAUCUGUGGGUGACUUGCUGUUUGUGGGCUUUAACAUGCUCACUUCUUCCUUCGUUCUCCUAUGGAUUUAUGAGAAUUGAUUUGAAGAAGAGAACUCUAGAUCUUGAUAGCAUUAGAGCUGCUAGGAUGGUAAGAGAAAAGCUAAAGUCAAGCGGACCUGUGUUGGGUGCAUAUGAUCAGUAUACCGGUAAAUCAACCGACGAUGCCAUAGUACCUUUGAAGGAUUAUUUGAAUGCACAAUAUUAUGGAGAGAUUGGAAUUGGCACACCCCCACAGACAUUUAAUGUCAUAUUUGAUACCGGAAGUUCGAACCUUUGGGUUCCAUCGUCAAAGU
RNAcentral lists this long non-coding RNA (1204 nucleotides) under Medicago truncatula (barrel medic). RNAcentral's name for it is "long non-coding RNA (MTRU_LNC006332)". Lineage: Eukaryota; Viridiplantae; Streptophyta; Magnoliopsida; Fabales; Fabaceae. The record is from RNAcentral.